RNAcentral lists this ribosomal RNA (253 nucleotides) under uncultured bacterium. RNAcentral's name for it is "partial 16S ribosomal RNA". It matches the Rfam family "Bacterial small subunit ribosomal RNA", at positions 524 to 776 of the family's 1533-position model. The record is from RNAcentral.
CACGUAGGGUGCGAGCGUUGUCCGGAAUUAUUGGGCGUAAAGAGCGUGUAGGCGGUCAGGUAGGUCCGUUGUGAAAACUCGAGGCUCAACCUCGAGACGUCGGCGGAAACCCUCUGGCUAGAGUCCGGAAGAGGAGAGUGGAAUUCCUGGUGUAGCGGUGAAAUGCGCAGAUAUCAGGAAGAACACCCGUGGCGAAGGCGGCUCUCUGGUACGUGACUGACGCUGAGACGCGAAAGCGUGGGGAGCAAACAGG